This 519-nucleotide ribosomal RNA is filed under the name uncultured eukaryote. RNAcentral describes it as "SSU rRNA". It matches the Rfam family "Eukaryotic small subunit ribosomal RNA", at positions 1161 to 1690 of the family's 1831-position model. The record is from RNAcentral.
AGGGCACCACCAGGAGUGGAGCCUGCGGCUUAAUUUGACUCAACACGGGAAAACUCACCCGGCCCGGACACUGGAAGGAUUGACAGAUUGAGAGCUCUUUCUUGAUUCAGUGGGUGGUGGUGCAUGGCCGUUCUUAGUUGGUGGAGCGAUUUGUCUGGUUAAUUCCGAUAACGAACGAGACUCUAGCCUACUAAAUAGAACAUUAGCUUACAUACGCCGGUGGUAUGAUUAACUUCUUAGAGGGACAGGCGGCGUUUCAGCCGCACGAAACAGAGCAAUAACAGGUCUGUGAUGCCCUUAGAUGUCCGGGGCCGCACGCGCGCUACACUGAAGUGAUCAGCGUGUAUAUAUUUAGCCUACUCUGUUAAGAGUGGGUAACCCAAUGAACCUUCUUCGUGAUUGGGAUAGGGGAUUGUAAUUAUUCCCCUUGAACGAGGAAUUCCCAGUAAGCGCGAGUCAUUAGCUCGCGUUGAUUACGUCCCUGCCCUUUGUACACACCGCCCGUCGCUACUACCGAUU